Gorilla gorilla gorilla (western lowland gorilla) is the source of this 300-nucleotide non-coding RNA. It matches the Rfam family "7SK RNA". Rfam says of the family: 7SK was discovered as an abundant small nuclear RNA in the mid-70s but a possible function has only recently been suggested. Two independent studies have found that 7SK RNA binds the CDK9/cyclin T complex (known as elongation factor P-TEFb). The record is from Rfam. Lineage: Eukaryota; Metazoa; Chordata; Mammalia; Primates; Hominidae.
GGAUAUGAGGGCGAUCUGGCUGCGACACCUGUCAUCCCAUUGAUCGCCAGGGUUGAUUCGGCUGAUCUGGCUGGCUAGGCGGGUGUCCCCUUCCUUCCUCACUGCUUCAUGUGCGUCCCUCCCGAAGCUGCAGCUCAGUCGAAGAGAACGACCAUACCCAGUAGAGGAGCUGGGCUUCCCUGGUAGAACCUCCAAACAAGCUCUCAAGGUCCAUUUGUAGGAGAACGUAGAGGUAGUCAAGCUUCCAAGAUUCCAGACACAUCCAAAUGAGGCGCUGCAUGUGGCAAUCUGCCUUUCUAG